This 253-nucleotide ribosomal RNA is filed under the name uncultured bacterium. RNAcentral describes it as "partial 16S ribosomal RNA". It matches the Rfam family "Bacterial small subunit ribosomal RNA", at positions 524 to 776 of the family's 1533-position model. The record is from RNAcentral.
AACGUAGGGGGCGAGCGUUGUCCGGAAUUACUGGGCGUAAAGGGCGCGCAGGCGGUCACUUAAGUCAGGGGUGAAAACUGGCGGCUCAACCGGCAGCCUGCCUUUGAAACUGAGUGACUAGAGGGCAGGAGAGGGGAGUGGAAUUCCCGGUGUAGCGGUGAAAUGCGUAGAUUUCGGGAGGAACACCAGUGGCGAAGGCGGCUCUCUGGCCUGUCCCUGACGCUGAGGCGCGAAAGCGUGGGGAGCAAACGGG